Molecule: ribosomal RNA, 497 nt
Filed under: uncultured bacterium
Lineage: Bacteria
Description: partial 16S ribosomal RNA
Rfam family: Bacterial small subunit ribosomal RNA
Source: RNAcentral
GAUGAACGCUGGCGGCGUGCCUAAUACAUGCAAGUCGAGCGAACAGACGAGGAGCUUGCUCCUCUGACGUUAGCGGCGGACGGGCGAGUAACACGUGGAUAACCUACCUAUAAGACUGGGAUAACUUCGGGAAACCGGAGCUAAUACCGGAUAAUAUAUUGAACCGCAUGGUUCAAUAGUGAAAGACGGUUUUGCUGUCACUUAUAGAUGGAUCCGCGACGCAUUAGCUAGUUGGUAAGGUAACGGCUUACCAAGGCAACGAUGCGUAGCCGACCUGAGAGGGUGAUCGGCCACACUGGAACUGAGACACGGUCCAGACUCCUACGGGAGGCAGCAGUAGGGAAUCUUCCACAAUGGGCGAAAGCUUGACGGAGCAACGCCGCGUGAGUGAUGAAGGUCUUCGGAUCGUAAAACUCUGUUAUUAGGGAAGAACAAAUGUGUAAGUAACUAUGCACGUCUUGACGGUACCUAAUCAGAAAGCCACGGCUAACUACGUG